UUCUGAUCCGGGUGGCACGUUAAAUUCCUCCGGGUGUUGGUUGAGCAGAUGUGGAGGAGAUUGGCCACUGCACUGCUGCAAAAUUAACGGCUGAGAUUAUAGGUCUACAAUGGGAAUGACCCAAAUGUUUUCUCACUUUUAUUUUUAUUUCUUUCCAGAGGAGAGUUUUUUAUAAACACUGAUGCGUAACGACAUUGAGAAGGAGGGUGAGUUUUGUUGGUUUGAUUUAAACUUCUUCAAUCCUUUACGUUCACAAAAAAUGCGUUAGCGUAAACAAAACCGACUUCCCUGUAGAACCUGCAUUUCACUAUUGGCACGAGAUAAGUGUGAUAAGCAGAUCAAAUGUACCUUUAUUUCAUCAUGUUAGUGCAGUAAUAUCACGUGACAGAUGAGAUAGUCUUUAUUCACUUCCUCGUACUUUGGACAAAGUUGACAAAUGCUGAAAAUGCGUUGAGGAAGAUAAAAUGAUAUUUCAUGCUACUGUUUGAUUUUUGUCUUGCAUUCCUGCAUUGAAACCCACUUGUUCCAAGCUGCAUUAUGUAACCUUGAGGAGGAAAGCUGGAUUUGAGCACGCCGCAAUUAAGCCCGUAUUGUAAAUAACUGCAGGAGAGCUUGUGGGAGCACCCGAGUGCUGGACGCUUCUUCAAAACACAGAUGGAUUUUCCAUUCAUGGUUUACACUUUGGACUGUGCUGCUGAGCCCCUGAGAGAUGGCUGGUGGUCUGGGGCUGAGUGAGGAUAUCACCAGAGGAAUCUAAGGAGGAUGCCUGGGCUGAUCUGAAGGAGUCUGUCCUCAAGAUGGAGAAGUUCAAUAUCGUGUCCUCCUAGCUUAUGUACACCUACAUGUAUAUAUGUGUGUGUAUAUAUAUAUAUACACACACUUAUUUCUCCUCCUCCAGUAAGCAUCUCAAAGUACCUCGUUGCCAACAUCGCCAUCGCUGCUCGCUGCCCUGUGUGCCUCUCCUCUCACGUGGCAGCAGGGCAAGAAAGCCAUGAGAACACGGAACCAGCUGCAGGGUGAGUCCAUAACACCUGAGUUUUCCUUUGAGAUGUCGUCCUUGGCCAGCCAGUGCUGGUGGAGGAGCUGCAGAAGGCACAUGCUAGUGAGGACAGCGUGGAAACCCACUCAGCCCUCAGCUCCCAUACAGAUAGGCUUUGAGCAGCUGGGCCAGCCUGGUCUGAUGGGCCGUCAGGAUGAGCAGGAAUUUCCAGAGCAUCCUGUUGCACAGAGCUGGUGGGGUGAUGAUGGCACAGACUGGGCUCCAAGCUCUGCUCUUCUCCUUGGGCAGCUCUCCGUCCUGUACUGCUGCGUUGAGUGUCACACCCAAGGAAAGAGCCACCUGGUACAGCAGCAGGGGAAGAGCUACAAUAUAGUUGGAAUGAAACUGGGAUGAAAAAGAAGAAGGAAAACUCAUAAUUGGUAAUUUUUUUUUAUUUUUCUGUUGAAUGCCAAGAUAAAAACAUGAAGUUAUUUUAAACUGACUUCUGGA
This 1489-nucleotide long non-coding RNA is filed under the name Numida meleagris (helmeted guineafowl). Its description in RNAcentral is "lncRNA (ENSNMEG00000005854.1)". Lineage: Eukaryota; Metazoa; Chordata; Aves; Galliformes; Numididae. The record is from RNAcentral.